AUACUUACCUGGCAGAGGAAAUACCAUGGCCAUGAAGGUGCUUUUCCUAGGGUGAAGCUUAUCCAUUGCACCUAUAUAUGCUGACCCCUGCUAUUUCCCCAAAGGUGGGAAACUCAACUGGUCAACCAUAUAAUCUGUGGUAGUAAAGGACUGAUUUGGCACUCUCUUCUG
Small nuclear RNA from Nycticebus coucang (slow loris), 171 nucleotides. RefSeq annotates it as U1 spliceosomal RNA. The transcript has a single exon. NCBI's taxonomy places the organism in Eukaryota, Metazoa, Chordata, Mammalia, Primates, Lorisidae. The record is from RefSeq and is a predicted model, not a curated record.